AUGCAGUCGAGGGGUAACAGAGAGAAGCUUGCUUCUUUGCUGACGACCGGCGCACGGGUGCGUAGCGCGUAUAGAAUCUGCCUUUUGCUGGGGUAUAGCCUUUAGAAAUGAAGAUUAACACCCCAUAGUAUUAUUAAUUGGCAUCAAUUAGUAAUUAAAGGUUACGGCAAAAGAUGACUAUGCGUCCUAUUAGCUAGAUGGUAAGGUAACGGCUUACCAUGGCAACGAUAGGUAGGGGCCCUGAGAGGGGGAUCCCCCACACUGGUACUGAGACACGGACCAGACUCCUACGGGAGGCAGCAGUGAGGAAUAUUGGACAAUGGAGGCAACUCUGAUCCAGCCAUGCCGCGUGCAGGAAGACUGCCCUAUGGGUUGUAAACUGCUUUUGUACAGGAAGAAACACUCUCACGUGUGAGAGCUUGACGGUACUGUAAGAAUAAGGAUCGGCUAACUCCGUGCCAGCAGCCGCGGUAAUACGGAGGAUCCAAGCGUUAUCCGGAAUCAUUGGGUUUAAAGGGUCCGUAGGUGGAUAAUUAAGUCAGAGGUGAAAUCCUGCAGCUCAACUGUAGAAUUGCCUUUGAUACUGGUUAUCUUGAAUUAUUAUGAAGUAGUUAGAAUAUGUAGUGUAGCGGUGAAAUGCAUAGAUAUUACAUAGAAUACCAAUUGCGAAGGCAGAUUACUAAUAAUAUAUUGACACUGAUGGACGAAAGCGUGGGUAGCGAACGGGAUUAGAUACCCCGGUAGUCCACGCCGUAAACGAUGGAUACUAGCUGUUCGGAUUUAUCUGAGUGGCUAAGCGAAAGUGAUAAGUAUCCCACCUGGGGAGUACGUUCACAAGAAUGAAACUCAAAGGGAAUUGACGGGGGCCCGCACAAGCGGUGGAGCAUGUGGUUUAAUUCGAUGAUACGCGAGGAACCUUACCAGGGCUUA
This 930-nucleotide ribosomal RNA is filed under the name uncultured Bacteroidota bacterium. RNAcentral describes it as "bacterial SSU rRNA". It matches the Rfam family "Bacterial small subunit ribosomal RNA", at positions 55 to 983 of the family's 1533-position model. Lineage: Bacteria; Pseudomonadati; Bacteroidota. The record is from RNAcentral.